UUUCAUUUAAAAGACCACAUUUUAUUCAUCCCUUUUAUUAUUGGAAUAUGUCACUACUAUAGAAAAUGCUGGAAUGAGCAUCUUCACACCAUGCACAGAGCUUAUUUUUUUAAUCUCACAUAGGAAUCAUCAUCAGGAGCAUAGCUGAUGCCCCAUGUAGGCAAGGGCCUUUGAUCUUCAUAAGGGAGAAGUUCUUAUAAAAACAUGAAUGGCUGCAGUUCAAUUUGCUCAUGUCUGAGCCUGAGCCAAGCUUGAUGACUCUAGCCUGUUCAUGGUCUUGGGAGCCCUAGGUAAAGCUCAGCAGCGCUGGGAAUGCUCCUGAGUCAGCAGGGACAUAGCCAGUGUAGUCAGCUCUUCUGACAAUUAAAAGUGUCACAGGUUUGCAAGAACUUUGAUCUAGUUAGCCACCUUAAUCCAUUACUCUGUGACUAUCACAGCUGUCUCCUCC
This 448-nucleotide long non-coding RNA is filed under the name Bos taurus (domestic cattle). RNAcentral's name for it is "long non-coding RNA NONBTAT015651". Lineage: Eukaryota; Metazoa; Chordata; Mammalia; Artiodactyla; Bovidae. The record is from RNAcentral.